CAAAGGUGAGCCAGUACAGGAUGGACCCGCGUCUGAUUAGCUAGUUGGUAAGGUAACGGCUUACCAAGGCGACGAUCAGUAGCCGACCUGAGAGGGUGAUCGGCCACAUUGGAACUGAGACACGGUCCAAACUCCUACGGGAGGCAGCAGUGGGGAAUAUUGCACAAUGGGCGAAAGCCUGAUGCAGCAACGCCGCGUGAGUGAUGAAGGCCUUCGGGUCGUAAAACCCUGUCCUCAAGGAAGAUAAUGACGGUACUUGAGGAGGAAGCCCCGGCUAACUACGUGCCAGCAGCCGCGGUAAUACGUAGGGGGCUAGCGUUAUCCGGAUUUACUGGGCGUAAAGGGUGCGUAGGCGGUCUUUCAAGUCAGGAGUGAAAGGCUACGGCUCAACCGUAGUAAGCUCUUGAAACUGGGAGACUUGAGUGCAGGAGAGGAGAGUGGAAUUCCUAGUGUAGCGGUGAAAUGCGUAGAUAUUAGGAGGAACACCAGUUGCGAAGGCGGCUCUCUGGACUGUAACUGACGCUGAGGCACGAAAGCGUGGGGAGCAAACAGGAUUAGAUACCCUGGUAGUCCACGCUGUAAACGAUGAGUACUAGGUGUCGGGGGUUACCC
RNAcentral lists this ribosomal RNA (612 nucleotides) under uncultured bacterium. RNAcentral describes it as "bacterial SSU rRNA". It matches the Rfam family "Bacterial small subunit ribosomal RNA", at positions 202 to 839 of the family's 1533-position model. The record is from RNAcentral.